UCCGGGUGAUUCGGCGUCACCUGUAACCUGAAAUCGUCGGCAUGCAGGGGACGAAGCCUGAUGAAGGCGCUCUGGCUGUAUGAAGGCCUCAAUCCUGGACGUUGAAAGCCCGUCCUGCUUGGUUAGCGGUGGCGCUGUGCCAUGCUGGAGAGCAUGGCGCUCGCCUUAAUUGCGGGGACCGGCACAGGCCCGGAAGGGAGCAUGCUUACCGUGAACAACUGACGCUUGCAGGGUAGCGGGCUGGAGGAAAGGGCUGA
This 257-nucleotide signal recognition particle RNA is filed under the name Methanocella conradii HZ254. RNAcentral describes it as "Archaeal signal recognition particle RNA". It matches the Rfam family "Archaeal signal recognition particle RNA", at positions 12 to 271 of the family's 317-position model. Lineage: Archaea; Methanobacteriati; Methanobacteriota; Methanomicrobia; Methanocellales; Methanocellaceae. The record is from RNAcentral.